Molecule: ribosomal RNA, 1418 nt
Filed under: Klebsiella quasivariicola
Lineage: Bacteria; Pseudomonadati; Pseudomonadota; Gammaproteobacteria; Enterobacterales; Enterobacteriaceae
Description: bacterial SSU rRNA
Rfam family: Bacterial small subunit ribosomal RNA
Source: RNAcentral
GCGGCAGCUACACAUGCAGUCGAGCGGUAGCACAGAGAGCUUGCUCUCGGGUGACGAGCGGCGGACGGGUGAGUAAUGUCUGGGAAACUGCCUGAUGGAGGGGGAUAACUACUGGAAACGGUAGCUAAUACCGCAUAACGUCGCAAGACCAAAGUGGGGGACCUUCGGGCCUCAUGCCAUCAGAUGUGCCCAGAUGGGAUUAGCUAGUAGGUGGGGUAACGGCUCACCUAGGCGACGAUCCCUAGCUGGUCUGAGAGGAUGACCAGCCACACUGGAACUGAGACACGGUCCAGACUCCUACGGGAGGCAGCAGUGGGGAAUAUUGCACAAUGGGCGCAAGCCUGAUGCAGCCAUGCCGCGUGUGUGAAGAAGGCCUUCGGGUUGUAAAGCACUUUCAGCGGGGAGGAAGGCGGUGAGGUUAAUAACCUCAUCGAUUGACGUUACCCGCAGAAGAAGCACCGGCUAACUCCGUGCCAGCAGCCGCGGUAAUACGGAGGGUGCAAGCGUUAAUCGGAAUUACUGGGCGUAAAGCGCACGCAGGCGGUCUGUCAAGUCGGAUGUGAAAUCCCCGGGCUCAACCUGGGAACUGCAUUCGAAACUGGCAGGCUAGAGUCUUGUAGAGGGGGGUAGAAUUCCAGGUGUAGCGGUGAAAUGCGUAGAGAUCUGGAGGAAUACCGGUGGCGAAGGCGGCCCCCUGGACAAAGACUGACGCUCAGGUGCGAAAGCGUGGGGAGCAAACAGGAUUAGAUACCCUGGUAGUCCACGCCGUAAACGAUGUCGAUUUGGAGGUUGUGCCCUUGAGGCGUGGCUUCCGGAGCUAACGCGUUAAAUCGACCGCCUGGGGAGUACGGCCGCAAGGUUAAAACUCAAAUGAAUUGACGGGGGCCCGCACAAGCGGUGGAGCAUGUGGUUUAAUUCGAUGCAACGCGAAGAACCUUACCUGGUCUUGACAUCCACAGAACUUUCCAGAGAUGGAUUGGUGCCUUCGGGAACUGUGAGACAGGUGCUGCAUGGCUGUCGUCAGCUCGUGUUGUGAAAUGUUGGGUUAAGUCCCGCAACGAGCGCAACCCUUAUCCUUUGUUGCCAGCGGUCAGGCCGGGAACUCAAAGGAGACUGCCAGUGAUAAACUGGAGGAAGGUGGGGAUGACGUCAAGUCAUCAUGGCCCUUACGACCAGGGCUACACACGUGCUACAAUGGCAUAUACAAAGAGAAGCGACCUCGCGAGAGCAAGCGGACCUCAUAAAGUAUGUCGUAGUCCGGAUUGGAGUCUGCAACUCGACUCCAUGAAGUCGGAAUCGCUAGUAAUCGUAGAUCAGAAUGCUACGGUGAAUACGUUCCCGGGCCUUGUACACACCGCCCGUCACACCAUGGGAGUGGGUUGCAAAAGAAGUAGGUAGCUUAACCUUCGGAGGCGCUA